GAUUAACGCUGGCGGCGUGCAUAACACAUGCAAGUCGAACGAUGAAACUUAAAUGAUUUCUUCGGAAUGAACUUAAGUGGCUUAGUGGCGGACGGGUGAGUAACGCGUGAGUAACCUGCCUUACACACGGGGAUAGCCGUUGGAAACGACGAAUAAUACCCUAUGAAACUAUCACUUCGCAUGAAGCGAUAGUCAAAGUGUUAGCGGUGUAAGAUGGACUUGCGUCUGAUUAGCUAGUUGGUGAGAAAAAAGCCCACCAAGGCAACGAUCAGUAGCCGGCUUGAGAGAGUGUACGGCCACAUUGGGACUGAGACACGGCCCAGACUCCUACGGGAGGCAGCAGUGGGGAAGUUUGCACAAUGGGGGAAACCCUGAUGCAGCGACGCCGCGUGAUUUAGAAGGCCUUCGGGUUGUAAAAAUCUUUUGUAUAGGAAGAAAAUGACAGUACUAUACGAAUAAGGCCCGGCUAAUUACGUG
Molecule: ribosomal RNA, 477 nt
Filed under: uncultured bacterium
Lineage: Bacteria
Description: partial 16S ribosomal RNA
Rfam family: Bacterial small subunit ribosomal RNA
Source: RNAcentral